Molecule: transfer RNA, 73 nt
Filed under: Loxodonta africana (African savanna elephant)
Lineage: Eukaryota; Metazoa; Chordata; Mammalia; Proboscidea; Elephantidae
Rfam family: tRNA
About the family: Transfer RNA (tRNA) molecules are approximately 80 nucleotides in length. Their secondary structure includes four short double-helical elements and three loops (D, anti-codon, and T loops). Further hydrogen bonds mediate the characteristic L-shaped molecular structure. tRNAs have two regions of fundamental functional importance: the anti-codon, which is responsible for specific mRNA codon recognition, and the 3' end, to which the tRNAs corresponding amino acid is attached (by aminoacyl-tRNA synthetases). tRNAs cope with the degeneracy of the genetic code in two manners: having more than one tRNA (with a specific anti-codon) for a particular amino acid; and 'wobble' base-pairing, i.e. permitting non-standard base-pairing at the 3rd anti-codon position.
Source: Rfam by way of RNAcentral
GCCCUGGUGGUAUAAUGGUUAAAGCACUCAGCUGCUAACUGAAAAGUUGAUGGUUCCAACCCACCCAGUGGCU